CUGAGCCAAACCUGAAGGCCCUUAGGAAGGUCAGAUGGCUUGAGCCUCUACCAGGAUACCUCAGUCCCACACUGUGUUUCAAGCCACCAUCCCUCAUUUCUCAUUUCCUACGCCCCUUUUUGUGGGAGAACUGCAAAAAAAAAUCACCAUGGUAGUGUUGAGAUUCCAGACUCUUAGUUGGUUGCUUCCUGGUGAAGAGGUGUGGCAGGAAGAGGUCAUGGAGAAGGAAAACUUAGGUCAUAUCCUCUGAGAUGGAUGGAUGACAGUUGGUGCUGGAAAGGCAUGCCUCACUCGGGCUACACUGCAGCACCUCAGAACGAUCUCCCUCAAAGACAAUUCGUCUGCCAGCAUCAGCAGAAAGAUCUUGCAGAGUGAAGAAGCUGUGGUAAUUGUGACCAGCAAGCCUUUGCUGAAUCAUCCUCUUCAGAAAUACCACCCUGAUUCAUCGGCUAUGCUUUUUACGUUAAUUGCAUUUAACGUCUGACAUCUUCGAUACCCUUUCUCCACAUCGCUGAAUCCUAAGAAGAAAACAAGACAAGCCAAACCCAGAUUAUGACUGAAAUAAAAACUGAGCAUUAGUGAAUUAAAGUGAAAACCGAAUGUGUUCAAUAUACCAUGAAAUUCAAAAGGUUUUAUAAUCCAUAAGGUAAAAAAAUAACAGUGCUUUUUCUUAAUGCUGGGUGUUAAUUUUGUCUAUACUUUGUAGAAUAUAAAUAGUAUUAUGCUCCAUAAAAUGAUACUGAUAUGAUUGUUGUAAGGAAUAAAAUUAUCAGGAAGCCAGAGUCUUUUAAAAUUAGCUGUCUUUUUAAUCAUUAUAAAAUUGCAAAAUG
Long non-coding RNA from Mesocricetus auratus (golden hamster), 830 nucleotides. RefSeq lists it as uncharacterized. NCBI's taxonomy places the organism in Eukaryota, Metazoa, Chordata, Mammalia, Rodentia, Cricetidae. The transcript is spliced from 3 exons. The record is from RefSeq and is a predicted model, not a curated record.